This is a long non-coding RNA of Epinephelus fuscoguttatus (brown-marbled grouper), 228 nucleotides long. RefSeq lists it as uncharacterized. The transcript has 3 exons. NCBI's taxonomy places the organism in Eukaryota, Metazoa, Chordata, Actinopteri, Perciformes, Serranidae. The record is from RefSeq and is a predicted model, not a curated record.
UUUAAUAAUGAAGGAGCAGAGAUGAACCUGGAGCACAUUUUGGAGGACCUCGCGGUGCUCAAGACUUACAGAGUGAUGUUCGGCUCUUGACGCAGUCUCCCAGGGCAGUUCACCUCAGACAGCUUUCCCAUCGUUACAGGCCUGUCUCACUCCUCCUGGGCUGCUCUUAAAACAGAUUACAGGUAAGAGGAUUGCGUCACUUAACCUGGCAAGGCUGCCCAGAUGACC